Molecule: non-coding RNA, 48 nt
Organism: Schistosoma mattheei
Lineage: Eukaryota; Metazoa; Platyhelminthes; Trematoda; Strigeidida; Schistosomatidae
Source: Rfam
AUCUAACUGAUGAGUCCGAAAUAGGGCAAAACGCUCGUCAAACUGGAU